CCUACGGGUGGCAGCAGUGGGGAAUAUUGCACAAUGGGGGAAACCCUGAUGCAGCGACGCCGCGUGAAGGAAGAAGUAUUUCGGUAUGUAAACUUCUAUCAGCAGGGAAGAAAAUGACGGUACCUGACUAAGAAGCCCCGGCUAACUACGUGCCAGCAGCCGCGGUAAUACGUAGGGGGCAAGCGUUAUCCGGAUUUACUGGGUGUAAAGGGAGCGUAGGCGGUUUAGCAAGUCAGAAGUGAAAGCCCGGGGCUCAACUCCGGGACUGCUUUUGAAACUGUUGAACUAGAGUGCAGGAGAGGUAAGUGGAAUUCCUGGUGUAGCGGUGAAAUGCGUAGAUAUUAGGAGGAACACCAGUGGCGAAGGCGGCUUACUGGACUGUAAAUGACGCUGAGGCUCGAAAGCGUGGGGAGCAAACAGGAUUAGAUACCCUUGUAGUC
This 440-nucleotide ribosomal RNA is filed under the name uncultured bacterium. Its description in RNAcentral is "partial 16S ribosomal RNA". It matches the Rfam family "Bacterial small subunit ribosomal RNA", at positions 338 to 795 of the family's 1533-position model. The record is from RNAcentral.